GCCCGGGUAGCCCAAAGGCAGAGGCACGCGGCUCAGAACCGCGACAGUGCGCGUUCGACUCGCGCUCCGGGUA
This 73-nucleotide transfer RNA is filed under the name Cryptosporangium aurantiacum. It matches the Rfam family "tRNA". Rfam says of the family: Transfer RNA (tRNA) molecules are approximately 80 nucleotides in length. Lineage: Bacteria; Bacillati; Actinomycetota; Actinomycetes; Cryptosporangiales; Cryptosporangiaceae. The record is from Rfam by way of RNAcentral.